RNAcentral lists this ribosomal RNA (403 nucleotides) under uncultured bacterium. RNAcentral describes it as "partial 16S ribosomal RNA". It matches the Rfam family "Bacterial small subunit ribosomal RNA", at positions 28 to 526 of the family's 1533-position model. The record is from RNAcentral.
GACGAACGCUGGCGGCGUGCCUAAUACAUGCAAGUCGAACGCAGUGGGGACGGGUGAGUAAUACGUGGGUAACCUCCCAUCAGAGGGGAUAACACUUGGAAACAGGUGCUAAACCGAUACUGAUGGAUGGACCCGCGGUGCAUUAGCUAGUUGGUGAGGUAACGGAUCACCAAGGCCACGAUGCAUAGGCGACCUGGGAGGGUAGUCAGCCACACUGUGACUGAAACGCGGCCCAGACUCCUACGGGAGGCAGCGGUAGAGGAUGUUCGGCGAUGGACGAAAGUCUAGCCGGACAACGCCACGUGAGUGAAGAAGGUUUUCGGAUCGUAGUACUCUGUUGUUAGAGAAGCGGUAUCUAACCAGAAAGCCACGGCUAACUACGUGCCAGCAGCCGCGGUAAUAC